UGGGGAAUAUUGCGCAAUGGGCGAAAGCCUGACGCAGCAACGCCGCGUGAGUGAUGAAGGUUUUCGGAUCGUAAAACUCUGUCUUUAGGGACGAAUGGUAGUUUUGUGAAUAAUGGAGCUACAUGACGGUACCUAAGGAGGAAGCCCCGGCUAACUACGUGCCAGCAGCCGCGGUAAUACGUAGGGGGCAAGCGUUGUCCGGAAUUACUGGGCGUAAAGAGCGUGUAGGCGGGUGAUUAAGUCAGAUGUGAAAACCCAGGGCUUAACCUUGGGAGUGCAUCUGAAACUGGUUACCUUGAGGACAGGAGAGGAAAGUGGAAUUCCUAGUGUAGCGGUGAAAUGCGUAGAUAUUAGGAGGAACACCAGUGGCGAAGGCGGCUUUCUGGCCUGUAACUGACGCUGAGACGCGAAAGCGUGGGGAGCAAACAGG
RNAcentral lists this ribosomal RNA (430 nucleotides) under uncultured prokaryote. Its description in RNAcentral is "bacterial SSU rRNA". It matches the Rfam family "Bacterial small subunit ribosomal RNA", at positions 355 to 776 of the family's 1533-position model. RNAcentral also lists the same sequence under 1 other name. The record is from RNAcentral.